RNAcentral lists this ribosomal RNA (464 nucleotides) under Campylobacter sp. canine oral taxon 011. RNAcentral describes it as "bacterial SSU rRNA". It matches the Rfam family "Bacterial small subunit ribosomal RNA", at positions 9 to 483 of the family's 1533-position model. The record is from RNAcentral. Lineage: Bacteria; Pseudomonadati; Campylobacterota; Epsilonproteobacteria; Campylobacterales; Campylobacteraceae.
GAGUUUGAUUCUGGCUCAGAGUGAACGCUGGCGGCGUGCCUAAUACAUGCAAGUCGAACGGAGAUUAAAGUAAGCUUGCUUAUUUUAAUUCUUAGUGGCGCACGGGUGAGUAAUGUAUAGCUAAUCUGCCCUACACUAGAGGACAACAGUUGGAAACGACUGCUAAUACUCUAUACUCCUUCUUUACAUAAGUUAAGUCGGGAAAGUUUUUCGGUGUAGGAUGAGGCUAUAUCGUAUCAGCUAGUUGGUGAGGUAACGGCUCACCAAGGCUAUGACGCGUAACUGGUCUGAGAGGAUGAUCAGUCACACUGGAACUGAGACACGGUCCAGACUCCUACGGGAGGCAGCAGUAGGGAAUAUUGCUCAAUGGGGGAAACCCUGAAGCAGCAANCGCCGCGUGGAGGAUGACACUUUUCGGAGCGUAAACUCCUUUUUCUUGGGAAAGAAUUAUGANCGNACCCAGG